UACAGAGGUCUCAAGCGUUGUUCGGAUUCAUUGGGCGAUAAAGGGUGCGUAGGCGGUCGCGGUAAGUCGGGUGUGAAAUCUCCGGGGCUUAACUCCGAAACUGCAUUCGAUACUGCCGUGCUUGAGGACUGGGAGAGGAGACUGGAAUUUACGGUGUAGCGGUGAAAUGCGUAGAUAUCGUAAGGAAGACCAGUGGCGAAGGCGGGUCUCUGGACAGUUCCUGACGCUGAGGCACGAAGGCCAGGGGAGCAAACGGG
RNAcentral lists this ribosomal RNA (257 nucleotides) under uncultured bacterium. RNAcentral's name for it is "partial 16S ribosomal RNA". It matches the Rfam family "Bacterial small subunit ribosomal RNA", at positions 524 to 776 of the family's 1533-position model. The record is from RNAcentral.